GAUGAACGCUGGCUACAGGCUUAACACAUGCAAGUCGAGGGGAAACGACGGGGAAGCUUGCUUCCUUGGGCGUCGACCGGCGCACGGGUGAGUAACGCGUAUCCAACCUGCCUCUGACUGAGGGAUAACCCGUCGAAAGUCGGCCUAAUACCUCAUGGCAUCGUCUGCGGGCAUCCAACGACGAUUAAAGAUUUCAUCGGUCAGGGAUGGGGAUGCGUCUGAUUAGCUUGUUGGCGGGGUAACGGCCCACCAAGGCUACGAUCAGUAGGGGUUCUGAGAGGAAGGUCCCCCACAUUGGAACUGAGACACGGUCCAAACUCCUACGGGAGGCAGCAGUGAGGAAUAUUGGUCAAUGGGCGAGAGCCUGAACCAGCCAAGUAGCGUGCAGGAAGACGGCCCUAUGGGUUGUAAACUGCUUUUAUGCGGGGAUAAAGUGAGGGACGUGUCUUUCAUUGCAGGUACCGCAUGAAUAAGGACCGGCUAAUUCCGUGCCAGCAGCCGCGGUAAUACGGAAGGUCCGGGCGUUAUCCGGAUUUAUUGGGUUUAAAGGGAGCGUAGGCCGUGGAUUAAGCGUGUUGUGAAAUGCAGGUGCUCAACGUCUGCACUGCAGCGCGAACUGGUCCACUUGAGUGUGCGCAACGCAGGCGGAAUUCGUCGUGUAGCGGUGAAAUGCUUAGAUAUGACGAAGAACUCCGAUUGCGAAGGCAGCUUGCGGGAGCACAACUGACGCUGAAGCUCGAAAGUGCGGGUAUCGAACAGG
RNAcentral lists this ribosomal RNA (760 nucleotides) under uncultured Prevotella sp. RNAcentral describes it as "bacterial SSU rRNA". It matches the Rfam family "Bacterial small subunit ribosomal RNA", at positions 28 to 776 of the family's 1533-position model. The record is from RNAcentral. Lineage: Bacteria; Pseudomonadati; Bacteroidota; Bacteroidia; Bacteroidales; Prevotellaceae.